This 63-nucleotide transfer RNA is filed under the name Vaejovis smithi. Its description in RNAcentral is "tRNA-Gln". Lineage: Eukaryota; Metazoa; Arthropoda; Arachnida; Scorpiones; Vaejovidae. The record is from RNAcentral.
UGAGUUAAAGUGUAAAAGCACAUUAGAAUUUGAAUCUAAAAGUAUUAUAAAUAAUUUUCUCAA